This 2921-nucleotide ribosomal RNA is filed under the name Staphylococcus aureus. RNAcentral describes it as "23S ribosomal RNA". It matches the Rfam family "Bacterial large subunit ribosomal RNA". Lineage: Bacteria; Bacillati; Bacillota; Bacilli; Caryophanales; Staphylococcaceae. The record is from RNAcentral.
UUAAGUUAUUAAGGGCGCACGGUGGAUGCCUUGGCACUAGAAGCCGAUGAAGGACGUUACUAACGACGAUAUGCUUUGGGGAGCUGUAAGUAAGCUUUGAUCCAGAGAUUUCCGAAUGGGGAAACCCAGCAUGAGUUAUGUCAUGUUAUCGAUAUGUGAAUACAUAGCAUAUCAGAAGGCACACCCGGAGAACUGAAACAUCUUAGUACCCGGAGGAAGAGAAAGAAAAUUCGAUUCCCUUAGUAGCGGCGAGCGAAACGGGAAGAGCCCAAACCAACAAGCUUGCUUGUUGGGGUUGUAGGACACUCUAUACGGAGUUACAAAGGACGACAUUAGACGAAUCAUCUGGAAAGAUGAAUCAAAGAAGGUAAUAAUCCUGUAGUCGAAAAUGUUGUCUCUCUUGAGUGGAUCCUGAGUACGACGGAGCACGUGAAAUUCCGUCGGAAUCUGGGAGGACCAUCUCCUAAGGCUAAAUACUCUCUAGUGACCGAUAGUGAACCAGUACCGUGAGGGAAAGGUGAAAAGCACCCCGGAAGGGGAGUGAAAUAGAACCUGAAACCGUGUGCUUACAAGUAGUCAGAGCCCGUUAAUGGGUGAUGGCGUGCCUUUUGUAGAAUGAACCGGCGAGUUACGAUUUGAUGCAAGGUUAAGCAGUAAAUGUGGAGCCGUAGCGAAAGCGAGUCUGAAUAGGGCGUUUAGUAUUUGGUCGUAGACCCGAAACCAGGUGAUCUACCCUUGGUCAGGUUGAAGUUCAGGUAACACUGAAUGGAGGACCGAACCGACUUACGUUGAAAAGUGAGCGGAUGAACUGAGGGUAGCGGAGAAAUUCCAAUCGAACCUGGAGAUAGCUGGUUCUCUCCGAAAUAGCUUUAGGGCUAGCCUCAAGUGAUGAUUAUUGGAGGUAGAGCACUGUUUGGACGAGGGGCCCCUCUCGGGUUACCGAAUUCAGACAAACUCCGAAUGCCAAUUAAUUUAACUUGGGAGUCAGAACAUGGGUGAUAAGGUCCGUGUUCGAAAGGGAAACAGCCCAGACCACCAGCUAAGGUCCCAAAAUAUAUGUUAAGUGGAAAAGGAUGUGGCGUUGCCCAGACAACUAGGAUGUUGGCUUAGAAGCAGCCAUCAUUUAAAGAGUGCGUAAUAGCUCACUAGUCGAGUGACACUGCGCCGAAAAUGUACCGGGGCUAAACAUAUUACCGAAGCUGUGGAUUGUCCUUUGGACAAUGGUAGGAGAGCGUUCUAAGGGCGUUGAAGCAUGAUCGUAAGGACAUGUGGAGCGCUUAGAAGUGAGAAUGCCGGUGUGAGUAGCGAAAGACGGGUGAGAAUCCCGUCCACCGAUUGACUAAGGUUUCCAGAGGAAGGCUCGUCCGCUCUGGGUUAGUCGGGUCCUAAGCUGAGGCCGACAGGCGUAGGCGAUGGAUAACAGGUUGAUAUUCCUGUACCACCUAUAAUCGUUUUAAUCGAUGGGGGGACGCAGUAGGAUAGGCGAAGCGUGCGAUUGGAUUGCACGUCUAAGCAGUAAGGCUGAGUAUUAGGCAAAUCCGGUACUCGUUAAGGCUGAGCUGUGAUGGGGAGAAGACAUUGUGUCUUCGAGUCGUUGAUUUCACACUGCCGAGAAAAGCCUCUAGAUAGAAAAUAGGUGCCCGUACCGCAAACCGACACAGGUAGUCAAGAUGAGAAUUCUAAGGUGAGCGAGCGAACUCUCGUUAAGGAACUCGGCAAAAUGACCCCGUAACUUCGGGAGAAGGGGUGCUCUUUAGGGUUAACGCCCAGAAGAGCCGCAGUGAAUAGGCCCAAGCGACUGUUUAUCAAAAACACAGGUCUCUGCUAAACCGUAAGGUGAUGUAUAGGGGCUGACGCCUGCCCGGUGCUGGAAGGUUAAGAGGAGUGGUUAGCUUCUGCGAAGCUACGAAUCGAAGCCCCAGUAAACGGCGGCCGUAACUAUAACGGUCCUAAGGUAGCGAAAUUCCUUGUCGGGUAAGUUCCGACCCGCACGAAAGGCGUAACGAUUUGGGCACUGUCUCAACGAGAGACUCGGUGAAAUCAUAGUACCUGUGAAGAUGCAGGUUACCCGCGACAGGACGGAAAGACCCCGUGGAGCUUUACUGUAGCCUGAUAUUGAAAUUCGGCACAGCUUGUACAGGAUAGGUAGGAGCCUUUGAAACGUGAGCGCUAGCUUACGUGGAGGCGCUGGUGGGAUACUACCCUAGCUGUGUUGGCUUUCUAACCCGCACCACUUAUCGUGGUGGGAGACAGUGUCAGGCGGGCAGUUUGACUGGGGCGGUCGCCUCCUAAAAGGUAACGGAGGCGCUCAAAGGUUCCCUCAGAAUGGUUGGAAAUCAUUCAUAGAGUGUAAAGGCAUAAGGGAGCUUGACUGCGAGACCUACAAGUCGAGCAGGGUCGAAAGACGGACUUAGUGAUCCGGUGGUUCCGCAUGGAAGGGCCAUCGCUCAACGGAUAAAAGCUACCCCGGGGAUAACAGGCUUAUCUCCCCCAAGAGUUCACAUCGACGGGGAGGUUUGGCACCUCGAUGUCGGCUCAUCGCAUCCUGGGGCUGUAGUCGGUCCCAAGGGUUGGGCUGUUCGCCCAUUAAAGCGGUACGCGAGCUGGGUUCAGAACGUCGUGAGACAGUUCGGUUCCUAUCCGUCGUGGGCGUAGGAAAUUUGAGAGGAGCUGUCCUUAGUACGAGAGGACCGGGAUGGACAUACCUCUGGUGUACCAGUUGUCGUGCCAACGGCAUAGCUGGGUAGCUAUGUGUGGACGGGAUAAGUGCUGAAAGCAUCUAAGCAUGAAGCCCCCCUCAAGAUGAGAUUUCCCAACUUCGGUUAUAAGAUCCCUCAAAGAUGAUGAGGUUAAUAGGUUCGAGGUGGAAGCAUGGUGACAUGUGGAGCUGACGAAUACUAAUCGAUCGAAGACUUAAUCAA